ACACGUAGGUCGCAAGCGUUGUCCGGAUUUAUUGGGCGUAAAGGGCUCGUAGGCGGUUUCGUAAGUCGGGUGUGAAAACUCAGGGCUCAACCCUGAGACGCCACUCGAUACUGCGAUGACUUGAGUCCGGUAGGGGAGCAGGGAAUUCCUGGUGUAGCGGUGAAAUGCGCAGAUAUCAGGAGGAACACCAUUAGCGAAGGCGCUGCUCUGGGCCGGUACUGACGCUGAGGAGCGAAAGCAUGGGGAGCAAACAGGAUUAGAUACCCUAGUAGUCC
Molecule: ribosomal RNA, 275 nt
Filed under: uncultured bacterium
Lineage: Bacteria
Description: partial 16S ribosomal RNA
Rfam family: Bacterial small subunit ribosomal RNA
Source: RNAcentral